RNAcentral lists this ribosomal RNA (253 nucleotides) under uncultured bacterium. RNAcentral's name for it is "partial 16S ribosomal RNA". It matches the Rfam family "Bacterial small subunit ribosomal RNA", at positions 524 to 776 of the family's 1533-position model. The record is from RNAcentral.
UACAGAGGUGGCAAGCGUUGUUCGGAAUUACUGGGCGUAAAGGGCGCGUAGGCGGCCAUCUAAGCCAGACGUGAAAUCCCCCGGCUUAACCUGGGAACUGCGUCUGAUACUGGGAGGCUUGAGUAUGGGAGAGGGAUGUAGAAUUCCAGGUGUAGCGGUGAAAUGCGUAGAUAUCUGGAGGAAUACCGGUGGCGAAGGCGGCAUCCUGGACCAUUACUGACGCUGAGGCGCGAAAGCUAGGGGAGCAAACGGG